CCUGGCUCAUUAUGAACGCUAGCUACAGGCUUAACACAUGCAAGUCGAGGGGCAGCAUUUCAGUUUGCUUGCAAACUGGAGAUGGCGACCGGCGCACGGGUGAGUAACACGUAUCCAACCUGCCGAUAACUCGGGGAUAGCCUUUCGAAAGAAAGAUUAAUACCCGAUGGCAUAAUUAGACCGCAUGGUCUUAUUAUUAAAGAAUUUCGGUUAUCGAUGGGGAUGCGUUCCAUUAGGCAGUUGGUGAGGUAACGGCUCACCAAACCUUCGAUGGAUAGGGGUUCUGAGAGGAAGGUCCCCCACAUUGGAACUGAGACACGGUCCAAACUCCUACGGGAGGCAGCAGUGAGGAAUAUUGGUCAAUGGGCGCAGGCCUGAACCAGCCAAGUAGCGUGAAGGAUGACUGCCCUAUGGGUUGUAAACUUCUUUUAUAUGGGAAUAAAGUUUUCCACGUGUGGAAUUUUGUAUGUACCAUAUGAAUAAGGAUCGGCUAACUCCGUGCCAGCAGCCGCGGUAAUACGGAGGAUCCGAGCGUUAUCCGGAUUUAUUGGGUUUAAAGGGAGCGUAGGUGGACAGUUAAGUCAGUUGUGAAAGUUUGCGGCUCAACCGUAAAAUUGCAGUUGAUACUGGCUGUCUUGAGUACAGUAGAGGUGGGCGGAAUUCGUGGUGUAGCGGUGAAAUGCUUAGAUAUCACGAAGAACUCCGAUUGCGAAGGCAGCUCACUGGACUGCAACUGACACUGAUGCUCGAAAGUGUGGGUAUCAAACAGGAUUAGAUACCCUGGUAGUCCACACAGUAAACGAUGAAUACUCGCUGUUUGCGAUAUACAGUAAGCGGCCAAGCGAAAGCAUUAAGUAUUCCACCUGGGGAGUACGCCGGCAACGGUGAAACUCAAAGGAAUUGACGGGGGCCCGCACAAGCGGAGGAACAUGUGGUUUAAUUCGAUGAUACGCGAGGAACCUUACCCGGGCUUAAAUUGCAUUUGAAUAAUCUGGAAACAGGUUAGCCGCAAGGCAAAUGUGAAGGUGCUGCAUGGUUGUCGUCAGCUCGUGCCGUGAGGUGUCGGCUUAAGUGCCAUAACGAGCGCAACCCUUAUCUUUAGUUACUAACAGGUCAUGCUGAGGACUCUAGAGAGACUGCCGUCGUAAGAUGUGAGGAAGGUGGGGAUGACGUCAAAUCAGCACGGCCCUUACGUCCGGGGCUACACACGUGUUACAAUGGGGGGUACAGAAGGCAGCUACCUGGUGACAGGAUGCUAAUCCCAAAAGCCUCUCUCAGUUCGGAUCGAAGUCUGCAACCCGACUUCGUGAAGCUGGAUUCGCUAGUAAUCGCGCAUCAGCCAUGGCGCGGUGAAUACGUUCCCGGGCCUUGUACACACCG
RNAcentral lists this ribosomal RNA (1380 nucleotides) under uncultured bacterium. RNAcentral describes it as "bacterial SSU rRNA". It matches the Rfam family "Bacterial small subunit ribosomal RNA", at positions 18 to 1392 of the family's 1533-position model. The record is from RNAcentral.